Struthio camelus australis is the source of this 516-nucleotide long non-coding RNA. RefSeq lists it as uncharacterized. NCBI's taxonomy places the organism in Eukaryota, Metazoa, Chordata, Aves, Struthioniformes, Struthionidae. The record is from RefSeq and is a predicted model, not a curated record.
CUACAAAUAAUAUGGCCAGCAUUGACAGGACAGCUUGGAGAGAACAGUGCUACUGAAGAUGACUAGAGUGACAGAAUCUAGUCCAAAAGGAUUGUACUUCGAUGAUCUUCAAGUGUUUUUGUGCUGAAGCAAACUUUUCAAGUAAAUUAAGCUCACCAGCAAGGCUGGAAGAUUGAAGAGAAAAGAAAGAGGAGGAUUAUGUUUGACCGCUACAGCACCCUGCUUUUGCCUCGCAAAGAGAAGGACAGUCUGCUUUACAGAAUCUGCAGGGAGUCAGCGAGAGUGGGAAGCCUUUCCUUUUCCAAGCACAGACAACUGUCAAUAUCUAACGAGGCACCUGCUCCUAUCUCACGGUUUCUAUAAAACCCCCAUUUUGCAUGAGCUGACAGCUCGUGGUAUGAAAGGCAGCAGUUUCCUCACAUUCAAGAGCUCAGCAGGAGUCUGACAAGAUCAGAAGAAAAGUAACAGAAAAUUGUUGAUGCCACAAGCCUUGAAUAUUUUAUCAUGCUACCAGGC